This 550-nucleotide long non-coding RNA is filed under the name Marmota monax (woodchuck). Lineage: Eukaryota; Metazoa; Chordata; Mammalia; Rodentia; Sciuridae. The record is from RNAcentral.
CUUGGAUUAGUGGAUGGUAGGAAAGGGGUUACAGGGGCUGCAGGAUGAUAGGGCAGCCCCCAGGCCCUUGAGCAUAGUCAUCUACCACCCCACCUUUCCCCUAGCUGCUAUCAUGGUCUUCCUCAGAGUCUUGGUGCACCCUUCUUUCCUUCAGAGUGCCUGCUCCUGUCCCUGAGAAGGGAGGUGAUGGAGUUCCUGGGGAGGAACCCUUCUACCCUGCAUGCCUACCUGCUAUACGGAAGCUGCUACAGAACAUAAUAAGCAGAACCGCACAUGCUGACAGAUCCCCAGAACACACUGCCAUGAAGACACCUAUCUACCUAGGGUCUACACUGGAAGAGACACCAAAGAGACAGUGUCAGAAUUUGCUUGCACAGGAGAAAGAAGAAGAAAAGUCCUAUAAGGUUUUAAAAUUUGGAUGAGUAAACUGUGACCUUAGCAAGUGAUUAAUCUUUCUGAGCCUCAGUUUCUUUCUGCAUCACUGCAUGUUGUGAGGAUCUCAGUGAAUGCUAGCUUCCCCUUUGUUGGAAAUGGAAAGCGUAUGCAGGGG